AGAGUUUGAUCCUGGCUCAGGAUGAACGCUAGCUACAGGCUUAACACAUGCAAGUCGAGCGGGACCCUUUCGGGGGUCUAGCGGCAAACGGGUGAGUAACACGUAUCCAACCUUUCCCUUACUUGGGGAUAGCCUUUAGAAAUGAAGAGUAAUACCCGAUGUGGUGCGAUUAUCGCAUGUUCAUUGCACCAAAGAUUCAUCGGUAAGGGGUGGGGAUGCGUUCCAUUAGGUAGUAGGCGGGGCAACGGCCCACCUAGCCGAUGAUGGAUAGGGGUUCUGAGAGGAAGGUCCCCCACAUUGGAACUGCGACACGGUCCAAACUCCUACGGGAGGCAGCAGUGAGGAAUAUUGGUCAAUGGGCGAGAGCCUGAACCAGCCAAGUAGCGUGCAGGAUGACGGCCCUAUGGGUUGUAAACUGCUUUUGUGCGGGAAUAACGUGCUCCACGUGUGGGGCAGUGCAUGUACCGUACGAAUAAGGAUCGGCUAACUCCGUGCCAGCAGCCGCGGUAAUACGGAGGAUCCGAGCGUUAUCCGGAUUUAUUGGGUGUAAAGGGUGCGUAGAUGGGAAAUUAAGUUAGUUGUGAAAUCCCUCGGCUCAACUGAGGAACUGCAACUAAAACUGAUUUUCUUGAGUGCAGGAGAGGAAAGUGGAAUUCCUAGUGUAGCGGUGAAAUGCGUAGAUAUUAGGAGGAACACCAGUGGCGAAGGCGACUUUCUGGACUGUAACUGACAUUGAGGCACGAAAGUGUGGGGAGCAAACAGGAUUAGAUACCCUGGUAGUCCACACUGUAAACGAUGGAUACUAGGUGUAGGGAAUAUUAAGUUUUCUGUGCCGUCGCAAACGCAGUAAGUAUCCCACCUGGGGAGUACGACCGCAAGGUUGAAACUCAAAGGAAUUGACGG
RNAcentral lists this ribosomal RNA (903 nucleotides) under uncultured bacterium. RNAcentral's name for it is "bacterial SSU rRNA". It matches the Rfam family "Bacterial small subunit ribosomal RNA", at positions 8 to 916 of the family's 1533-position model. The record is from RNAcentral.